This 352-nucleotide ribosomal RNA is filed under the name uncultured bacterium. Its description in RNAcentral is "bacterial SSU rRNA". It matches the Rfam family "Bacterial small subunit ribosomal RNA", at positions 8 to 350 of the family's 1533-position model. The record is from RNAcentral.
AGAGUUUGAUCCUGGCUCAGGAUGAACGCUAGCUACAGGCUUAACACAUGCAAGUCGAGGGGCAGCAUUUCAGUUUGCUUGCAAACUGGAGAUGGCGACCGGCGCACGGGUGAGUAACACGUAUCCAACCUGCCGAUAACUCGGGGAUAGCCUUUCGAAAGAAAGAUUAAUACCCGAUGGUAUAAUUAGACCGCAUGGUCUUGUUAUUAAAGAAUUUCGGUUAUCGAUGGGGAUGCGUUCCAUUAGGCAGUUGGUGAGGUAACGGCUCACCAAACCUUCGAUGGAUAGGGGUUCUGAGAGGAAGAUCCCCCANAUUGGAACUGAGACACGGUCCAAACUCCUACGGGAGGCA